Molecule: long non-coding RNA, 3829 nt
Organism: Populus trichocarpa (black cottonwood)
Lineage: Eukaryota; Viridiplantae; Streptophyta; Magnoliopsida; Malpighiales; Salicaceae
Exons: 4
Source: RefSeq, a predicted model, not a curated record
AAACUGAAACCCUACCCAACAAUCUUUUGUCCAUAUAAAAGCAUAUGAUUAGCGAAGCAAGCAGCCGGCCGUGACCUCCAGAGUUCUCAAACCCUCCUACAUCUACCCCUUCAACGAUCACUUCCCGUUUGGUGCUUCAAGCUUGUUGCGGUGAAAUUGCACAACUCUCCUAAUAGAAUAAAUACUGAACAUCCGGCAUUUCUCUACCCUUUUUCUUCUUGAAUCGACUUGUAAUUAGAAGAUCCCAAUCAUCUUCUCCGAAAGAGAGAGAAUAGCGUGAAUGCCUUGUGUGAUUCUGUAUAGGCUAGAGUUAAUGCAGCAGCAGCAGAUAUGUUUAAUCCUUUGGGAUGAACUGGAUGGGUUGUUUAACGGAACUAAUUCUCAAUUUCUUUGAUGUUUUCCUUAUGGUCUCGUUAGUGGAUGUCAAUGCUUGCGUGGUAGGAAAUUAUGUGUGUACGGAUAUUCGAAUGAAGUUAAUGUGCUUGUGUCCUUUGUGGUGUCUGAAGACUCUGAACUGGAUGCUUGUCAAGUGGUGCGCGUUGUCGGAAGUCGAGAAGUUCCGAGGGUAUAACAUGCCUGUAGGUAUGAGAUACCAGUGGUGAUAAUUGAAUUGCAUGCUACAGCAUUUACCAAGCAAAUGCCUGUAGAUAGUUGAUUGACAAACGAGAAGAUAAUAGCUAAAAUGACAGUUAUUUGGGUUUGGCUUUCCUUUGCCCUUGCCUUCGAGAUGCUCUUAGGCCUGCUUUCUUUCACCAAGUGGCACGGAUACCCGGUGUGUGCUCGCGUCCGUGGUAGAGUUUGUUCCUUGGGUCUUAGGCCCAACGUUUGGGUCUCUAGGCUAGGGCCCAGUCUUAUUGAUGGUCCUUAGGACCAAAACCCAGCCCUAUCAAUGUGUUUGACACUUCUGCCUAAAAUCUCCUGUAGCAAAGUACCAAACAUUUGAAGAAUGUGUUCUGAAGAUGAGAAUGGGGAAAUUUAUAGGAUUAGUGUGUUUUCUUUCUUCUUAAAUUGAUGAACCGAUAUACUGUUUGUUAGGAGUGAAGAACAGUGGGGGUUAAUACCCAUUUUGGCAGGAGAGUAAUGUGUACACCACAACAAAAAUGAAGGAUUAAUUUAAUCAUCUCCUACAUGAAAUGUGAACAAAUUCACCUCCAAACGAAUCCUAAAAACUAGAUCUACGACUGUAGAAGUCAAGAGAUUGCAAACGAUGAGCCAAAAACUCAUUGGUUUUUUGCAGGAGGGGUUGGGUGAGGCUGGCUACUUUGCCUCUUAUACUGAUGGAGACACGUUGCCCGCUUGCUAAACAAAAUGUAAAAUUUAAGAAAUUAAACAAGAAGAAAGGAAGAGGAAAUCAAGAAGAACAUGAAAAACAAGUUAUAUACAUGAAAGAUGAAUAUGAUAACCUGCCAAUAGCUUUGUCAUAGAUUCAGGAAUUCUCCAAGUCAUAGAGAAAUGAACUUUAGCUGCGAUUUCAGAGUCUACGCUCUUAAAAUAACAAAAAAAUUGGUCAUCAUUUAACAAAGAUGUUCUAUGCUAAGUGAUCAACUAUCAAUUGAUUCCUCCCAAAAUGUGCAAGAAUCUCACUACUUUUGUUUUUUUUAUUAACGUGAGUGUUCGGACCAGUUUGCGCGUAUCUCGACUAAUCCUACGGGCCCUGAAGUUAACGACUAUGUAAGUCUUUAAUGGCUUUGAAGUUUGUAAGACUUGAACUGAUUAUCUCUAAGAAGUAAACUCAGGACCUGACCAGUUGAGUUAUAUCCUCGCGGGGUUAAGAAUCUCUCUCCUUUAUUUCUAUGGGUCCCGUUUCAACUGGCAAUCCCAUCUAAAGCGUUAGGUGUCUGUUCGAAAUUUAUCUAUCUACAACCGAAGGGUUUAUACUACGUGAUUCACUCGAAAGAAAGGAGAUCAGACUCGGAUUUGAAUGUAGACAUGGCUUUUUCAAAAUGGUUUUUAGAAACAAAUGAUUUAAAUCUACCUCAAGUACACCAUUUAUUUUCUUAGUUUAAUGUUGUGUUCUGCUUUGACAGCCAAGCGUCGCCUUAUUUUUCUGCAGUAUUGGCAUCUGUUCUGUAUUCAAUAAUUGAUUUGAGCUAUUGUUAAUUUACAUAUUCUUAAAAUGGAUCCUUUACGUUAAUUGUUAUUCUACUUUACUCGUAUUAAUUGGUUCGGUGGCGUAUGGAGUAAAAUGCCAUGCCACCGCUAGCUGUUUCAACAAUUGAGUUGGUAGCUCAAUGCAUCAGAGUUUAUUCUUUAAAGAUGAUCAGUUUGAGUGCUACAAGCCUCAGAAUUACUGAGGCUUACCUGGUCGUUAAUUUUAGAAUCUCGAGCAUUAGUCGAGGUACACGUAACCUAGUCUAUACACCUACGGUAACUAAAAUAAAAAUUAAAAAUUGAUGUAUGGGCAGUGAGAUACUUGGAGACGAGUUCUGAAGUUUCAUGUGGUUCGUAACGGUUGCUUUUCUGGGCAACUUUUGUUACUAGCUCAAAUAUAUCGGUGACAUCUAAGUUCAAGGGGUGGUUUUUGUACAUUGCAACAGCACUCUAUGAAAAAUCGUAGUUAUCAGACAUUACAAGUUCUAAUAAUGAUACAAAGGCUCUAUCGACAAAUACAUUUCUUUAAGCUCCUUCCUUAGGGAAGCAUGCUCGCCAGCGUUUCUCACUUGGGGGUAAAAGCCUGAAACACACCAUUUAAAAUAGUUAGCUUAAUUUAAAACAACUUGUUCUCGCUGCAUUAUUUACAAAUUACUGUUAUUAUUUGAAGUUUCAGGGGUGCACUCACAGCAAAAACGGUGGCAUGACCAGGAUCUGCUAGGUGAGCAAAGAGGUUGUCAAUAGGACCGGUGCCAGUGUAAAUGUGUUGGAACCAAGCACCCAUCACAGCCAACAUAGCCAAUCUUCCAUUCUUGAUCUCCUUUGUCCUCAAUUCCUUGAUCUUCUCAGGAGAGCCACUGCCCCAUCCAAGUGGGUCAAACCAUAGCCCACCUGGGUAACCAACAUCUGUACCAGUGAGUUUGUUGUUAGGGAAGAUAGGAUCAGUGUUAACGCACCCUGGCUUGAGAAUAUCAGCCCAUCUUCUUCCCUCGGCCCAGCCAAUAAAGAAUAACUCAACAAUGAAGAGUGUGGUGGUGUCAGUGAAGUAUUCAACUUCUCCAGCACUGUACCAGGACGGGGUGUUUAGGAUGCCAAUCUUUGUUAGGAAUUCUGGGAUGAAAAUACCAGCAGCACCUAACAUUGCCCAUCUACAGUGAACAAGUUCUGCUUGCACAUUCCAUCUUAGAGUUUCAGGAUCAGAUCCUGUUUCAGACAAAUUACAACUUGCAUAAGUACUUCAUGAUUGGUUAUAUUGUGCAGGUGACUAACACCUAACGAUUUAGCUCUCACUCACCAAGACCUAGAGGAUCAAAGCCAAAGUCUCCGGGGAGGCUGCAGUUGAGACAUUCAAGCAAAGCUUUAGAACGCUUAGCACAGUAAUUGAGUCUUUACAUCAAUGAAAAGAAAGAGGCUUUGGUGCUAAAGAACAAGUCUUCAACUGACCUGCCAUCAAGCCAUGGAGGAGGGGUGCUGCCUGGGAACCAGAGGGGUCUAUCAGGGUCAGCUGCAACACAAACUGUAACUGAUCGAGCUGCGGUUGGUGAUGUGUACGUCCUCAGUCUUAAUUUCUUCCCCCUAAGAAAAGAAGCCUUUGUUGACCCGACAAGGGAUCCAGUCUUCUGGGAACUGCAAUAAGAGAUGGAAACGGCUGCAAUGGCAGAAGAAGCACAAACAGCAGCCAUUUUGUUUUUGCCAAAAGACUAUCUUCCAAUCAGUUUGUGCUGUGUUUGAAUGGCUU